This 253-nucleotide ribosomal RNA is filed under the name uncultured bacterium. RNAcentral's name for it is "partial 16S ribosomal RNA". It matches the Rfam family "Bacterial small subunit ribosomal RNA", at positions 524 to 776 of the family's 1533-position model. The record is from RNAcentral.
UACGAAGGGGGCUAGCGUUGCUCGGAUUUACUGGGCGUAAAGGGCGCGUAGGCGGUUCGCUCAGUCAGACGUGAAAUUCCUGGGCUCAACCUGGGAGCUGCGUUUGAUACGUGCGGACUUGAGUGCGGAAGAGGGUCGUGGAAUUCCCAGUGUAGAGGUGAAAUUCGUAGAUAUUGGGAAGAACACCGGUGGCGAAGGCGGCGACCUGGUCCGAUACUGACGCUGAGGCGCGAAAGCGUGGGGAGCAAACAGG